Molecule: unclassified non-coding RNA, 348 nt
Filed under: soil metagenome
Description: partial contains 5.8S ribosomal RNA, internal transcribed spacer 2, and large subunit ribosomal RNA
Rfam family: 5.8S ribosomal RNA (bases 1-120)
Source: RNAcentral
GAUGAAGAACGCAGCGAAAUGCGAUAAGUAAUGUGAAUUGCAGAAUUCAGUGAAUCAUCGAAUCUUUGAACGCACAUUGCGCCCCCUGGUAUUCCGGGGGGCAUGCCUGUUCGAGCGUCAUUUCAACCCUCAAGCUCUGCUUGGUAUUGGGCGUCGCCGGGGAGUCUCCCCGGCGUGCCUCAAAGCCAUCGGCGGUGGUGCCUUUCUCUAAGCGUGGUAGAAUUUUUAUUCGCUUCUGAGUUGGGCUUCGCCUGCCGGACAAACCGGGCCCUCGCGGCCCACCUUCUCAGGUUGACCUCGGAUCAGGUAGGGAUACCCGCUGAACUUAAGCAUACAAUAAGCGGAGGA